RNAcentral lists this ribosomal RNA (313 nucleotides) under uncultured bacterium. RNAcentral's name for it is "bacterial SSU rRNA". It matches the Rfam family "Bacterial small subunit ribosomal RNA", at positions 28 to 334 of the family's 1533-position model. The record is from RNAcentral.
GAUGAACGCUGGCGGCGUGCUUAACACAUGCAAGUCGAACGGACUUUAUUUGAAGCCUAGCGAUAAUAAAGUUAGUGGCGGACGGGUGAGUAACGCGUGGGUAACCUGCCCUAUACUGGGGGACAACAGUUGGAAACGACUGCUAAUACCGCAUAAGCACACAGUAUCGCAUGAUACCGUGUGAAAAACUCCGGUGGUAUAGGAUGGACCCGCGUCUGAUUAGCUAGUUGGUGAGGUAACGGCCCACCAAGGCGACGAUCAGUAGCCGGCCUGAGAGGGUGAACGGCCACAUUGGGACCGAGACACGGCCCAA